UUGGAAUCUAACGCCAGCAUGGAGGACAUCACCCAGCCCUGGAAAUAUCCGGGUGUCUGGAGAUGCAUCCACGCCAGGACCCAUGAGCAAGGGAGAGAAUGCGACCAACUCCUGGGACUCUAGGGCAGCAGUCUUGGGGAAGUGUGGCAUCCUCACUGUGAGAGAGAGAGAGCUGGAGGCAGCCACCAGCUCCCCCUCCCUGCCCUCCUCUGCCAAAGGAAGGCCCUGCUAUUUCAACACAAGCGGCUUGCAGGAGGAGCCUGUUAAGAGGACGGCUGGUCCACUGAAAAAGCGGCAGCAGCUUCAGAAAGGUUAAAAUGUGACUCCCCUGCCCCUGACAAAAAAACUGUUUUCAAUUCAGAAAACAAGGUGUCUAUGGCCAUAUUACCAUGGACGUGCCUGGUGUCAUCUGAUCUCAGAAGCUAAACAGGCUCUGGAUUGAUCAAUACUUGGAUGGAAGAAAACAAAGUGUGCCCAUUUUACAGAUAAGAAAGACAAGCCUCAGAGAAAUAAAAAAUUUAUCAGCCACCGGGUGACAGAGGCGGCUCUAAUCCAGUGAUUCCUUCCCUCCUUCCUCAUCUUGUCUUCCUGGUUCAAGGUUAGCUCCCAGAGCUCAUUCCCGGGAGGAAACAGUUCUGGGUGACUGAUUCACUGAUCAGCUUGGUUUGGGUUUCAUAAAACGCUGUGCUGGAACACUGAGUCGGUACUUCUCCCAAGUUUCCAGUUCGGAGACACGAGGAGAAUGCUAAAAGCUCGAAUAUGCAAAUGAACAUUUGGACAGAUUUCCUCUAGAGUUUCGGCCUCCAGGCAAAUGAUUUAUUCCCUGCAGAAAUGCAUUUUUGUUUCUGCUUAACGGGUGAAAAAGGAGAAAAGAUUUUUCGGGACAACCAAGCUUAGGAAUAAAAGUCUCCAUGGGAAAUGUACUUUUCUGAAAGCAAAUGUUGGCUAAACAAGGACAGUGUUGACUAAACACGUGUUCCCCUCACCCAAAGGAAUGGAGUCAGAGAAUCCCCCAAGCUCCAAAUUGUGGGGGCAGAUGGAUCUUUUAGAAGUUCACGGUUCGCCUUUCUCCUGCCCAGCCCCAUGCCUUAAGCAAAGUGUGGGAUGGUCUCGGGAGGACACCCACAAAUGUAAGUAGGAAGGUGGGAAGCAGCCUCUCCUCUAAUAUAGAAAAACAACUGUGACAGACAGAACAAAGCAUGUGGUUCAGACACGAGACCCUGAGCUAGCCCUGGGGAGGGAGACAGCAGCUUUGCAGCCGUUAUCCUCAGGAAGCCCUGAGCGCUGAGAGGCACUGUUACAGAACCGAACUGGGGUCCACUCGCUAGGCCUACCUAGGUGCCUGGAAUUUCCCUUCGAGGAACGCAGGAGUUUUCUUUAUUUUCAUGCUUGGGAAGGCUCAUUAGGCCCCUAAGAGAGGGUCCCUUCCCCAUCUCAGGACUAAAAUGCAAUGAAGAUGUUGCUCAGGGAGGGACAUUCCACUUUUUAAAUCAGCUUUCUGAAGCAUGAUCUCCAUAUAAUCACCUAGAAGCGUACAGCACAAUGAUCUUGACAGAUGCCAGCAUCCUUGGAACCACUGCCACCACCAACGUCUCAAACCAUUCCAUCAAACCCAGAACACUCCUGGUGCCCUGAAGCGUCUCCCUUCAGUGGCAGAACCAGCAGAGAUUCAGUGGUCACAAGGCUGGUCUGGAACUCCUGGGUGCAAGCGAUCCUUCCACCUCGGCCUCCCAAAGUGCUGGGAUUAGAGGCAUAAGCCACCGCGCCCAGCCAGGAAUGGAUUUUCUCACAGUUCUCGAUGGCGGAAGUCUGAGAUCAAGGUCUUGGCAGGGCUAGGUCUCUCUGAGGCCUUUCUCCCCAGCUUAUAGGUCGCCGCCUCCUCUCUCUGUCUUUCCUUGUCUUCCUUGUGUCCACAGUUGUGUCCAAAUUCCCCUUUCUCAUAAGGACGUCAGUCAUGUUGGAUUAGGGCCCUCCCUCCUGACCUUGUUUUAGCUUAAUCUCUGCAACUUAACCCUUAACCUCAGUAAAGAUCCUAUUUCCAAAUGUGUUCACAUUCUGAGGUCCUGAGGAUUAGGACUUUGAAAGGAUUAAAACAGGCUCUUCUGGCAUAUUGACAAUUUCAGCUAAAGACUCUUGAGAAACAGCAGGUGCAAAAAGAUCACAGUGACCUCCAUGCUGUACCUUGAGAUGAAAUUCCAAUGCGAAAGAUGCCCUCUCCACCCUAGAAGGGAAAGCAACAUCCUUAUCUUUGGGAGUGAAAAGUCCAAACUGAGAGCAUACUGUGAGUACCUCAUUAGCAUCAUUCCAUUCUCUGAGCUUCCCCGCAGACUUCAGUUGCUUCUUCACAGCUCUGCUCUUUGUCCCGUCCAAUCUCUGAGUAACUAACUCACUGCUUCUGCAGGUCUUCAUUUCUGCAGGAGGGCUCCCAUGCUACAUAAAUCCUGCAUUACACUUUUCUCCUGUUAGUCUAUGUUAUGUCCAUUUAAUUCUCAGGCCCAGCCGGGACCCUAAGAGGACAGAGGUGGAGUUUUUCCACCCCUACAACUUUACCCAAUCACAAUUCAAUCCUAACAGUGCCUUUCUCUGGAGGGGCUCUGCCAGCAUGAAUUCCUUUACGGGUGGAAGCCUCACAGUCCAGUCUACCAGUGAGGUCCACAUGGGAUUGGCUGGAGGGAGCUACGAAGUCAAGCGGCGUCAGGUACAGAGAAACAAAUCCCACAUCCAAGGGCCAGGAGGCGGUAGAGCAAACCACGCACAGCCGGGUGACUUAAGGGCAAGGAAGUCUUCCUGCAGGAGGUGAAUUUGGCACAAGGGAUACGUUUUUAGGCCCUGAGUGGAGGAUCUGGGUUUCAAACUGGACUUUUGAAAAACACACUCUUAUUGUAGAAGGGCCUGCGGGUUUGUUUUAAUCACUUCUCAAAGCUACGCUAGGCAUUCGCAGCUCAGGAUCCCCAGUUUAGCCUAAUAAAAAAAAGUAAUUACAUCAUAUUACAGAUAAUUUGAUUGUGUCUGAGACGAUAAUUGAGUUAAAACGCUUAUUGUAACAGACACAUCAGAUUGGCAAGGAGGAAGCUCGG
Molecule: long non-coding RNA, 3077 nt
Filed under: Homo sapiens (human)
Lineage: Eukaryota; Metazoa; Chordata; Mammalia; Primates; Hominidae
Description: HSALNT0258033
Source: RNAcentral